Molecule: ribosomal RNA, 253 nt
Filed under: uncultured bacterium
Lineage: Bacteria
Description: partial 16S ribosomal RNA
Rfam family: Bacterial small subunit ribosomal RNA
Source: RNAcentral
UACGUAGGCAGCGAGCGUUGUUCGGAUUCAUUGGGCGUAAAGGGUGCGUAGGCGGCGCGGUAAGUCGGGUGUGAAAUCUCGGGGCUUAACUCCGAAACUGCAUUCGAUACUGCCGUGCUUGAGGACUGGAGAGGAGACUGGAAUUUACGGUGUAGCGGUGAAAUGCGUAGAUAUCUGGAGGAACACCGGUGGCGAAGGCGGCAUCCUGGACCGGCAUUGACGCUGAGGCGCGAAAGCCAGGGGAGCAAACGGG